RNAcentral lists this ribosomal RNA (252 nucleotides) under uncultured bacterium. Its description in RNAcentral is "partial 16S ribosomal RNA". It matches the Rfam family "Bacterial small subunit ribosomal RNA", at positions 524 to 776 of the family's 1533-position model. The record is from RNAcentral.
UACGUAGUGGCAAGCGUUAUCCGGAAUUAUUGGGCGUAAAGAGCGCGCAGGUGGUUAAUUAAGUCUGAUGUGAAAGCCCACGGCUUAACCGUGGAGGGUCAUUGGAAACCGGUUGACUUGAGUGCAGAAGAGGGAAGUGGAAUUCCAUGUGUAGCGGUGAAAUGCGUAGAGAUAUGGAGGAACACCAGUGGCGAAGGCGGCUUCCUGGUCUGCAACUGACACUGAGGCGCGAAAGCGUGGGGAGCAAACAGG